Molecule: long non-coding RNA, 1599 nt
Organism: Rhopalosiphum padi (bird cherry-oat aphid)
Lineage: Eukaryota; Metazoa; Arthropoda; Insecta; Hemiptera; Aphididae
Exons: 2
Source: RefSeq, a predicted model, not a curated record
CGAAGUUAGAUUGCGUUUUUAUUAGGGUGUUGGAUAGUGGCACGGUAAUUGGGUGGCGUCUUCUAAGAAAACAUUUUCGAUUGAAACGAGUGCGUAAUCCAAUCACAGUCGUGAUAACAUAUAAUAAUAAAUGCACCCCCUCGUGCCCGUUGUAACGUCUAUAUAAGUAUGCCUAAGAAAACCAAAUUAAAAUAUCCGAACGAAAUUAUUCAGAAUUUUAAUACACAACGCGCCAUUCAAUUAUACGAGUUUGUUUCACAUCAAUUUCUGAAAUUUUAUCGCACUAAUUCAAUUGCAAGUAUGACUAAAAACUUGUCUUACACGAGGCUGGUCCCCGGCCGCUCAGCGCGUGCAUAAUCUCUGCUAAUCAUUGAAAACGUUAAUAAAUUUAAACCGAGAUUUCUUACAGAUCGCAUAACGUCAUGUCCCGUCGGAGAAAAUGUCUUAAAUAUCAUCAUUCUAUAAUACGCGUACUAUUACAUGCGCCUAUUAAUACAGGCCCUAUAUAAUAUUGUAAUAUCAUCAGCUCAGCAGCUAACACGCGGAAUACACGGUGCGUAAUAACAAUACAGGUAGAAGUACUCGUCGCCACCUUUUUGCGUUGUACAUCAUUUACACCGAAGGAUUAUUGCGGUGUCCAGCCGACUUUUUAGACCAAACUCGUUGGUACCUCGUGCAUUCUUUUAAUUGGGGUUUCUUUUUCCCUAACCUUUGCGAUGCGACGACUUUUGUUUCGGCCGAAGAGGGUGUAUUGUAUUAUAUUCGCGGCGUGUACAGAAAGACCGUUGCUAUAUUAUACCGAAUCCGUCUCGUAUCUCAGUUUCACACGGACACGGCCCGCGGCACCGGAGAUUUAGAAACACGCAAUAACAGUCUCCUUACGAUGUUAUAAUGUUUAUAAUAAUACGCGUAUAGACAAUGCGGUGUCGGAGAAUGCCCGUGUAUGCACAAAAAGAACCCCCACGAGAACGACGUGGCCGUUGUUGGCAAACAGAGUCCGUAACUGACCUCUGGGCGUCCAGGUGCAACGCCACUUGCAGGGGGCCCUCAUUGUUCGGGUCCUCGACGGUAGUGUACCUACCUACAUUAAUUAUUGAACGUGAGCACGCCGCGCUAAAACAAUGGACAACCGGAUUUUAGGACCACGCCGGGCGAUAUUUACCCAACAAAGGGGUUAUCUUGUCCGUCAGUCGUCGCCGGGACAGAGCCGUCGUCGCAUCGGAUCGGUUUUGAAUCGACUACGUCGCAGAAAAAUUAUAAUCCAGAUAAGGCCUGGAGGUCCAAAAAAGAUCGGUGCCUUUCGUUAAGAUGUACAUGAACACGAUGUUAUGAAAUUGGAGAGUAUCCGAUAUUAUAAUAAAAUGACCUAGCAAAUUGUUUGAUCUAAAUACUUGAAAAAAUUCAUAAAAUUGAUUUUUAAAUUAAUAAUUUUUAAUCUAUAUUAGUACAUCCGUGUUAUUAUUUAAGUUAAACUGCAUUAAAACUAGUUUUAAUCUAACAUCUAAAAACAAUUUAAAAUUUGUUUUCAGUAUUUUUUUGUAAUAAGUAUAAAUUAAAUUAAAAGUUUGAUACUUUUAAGGUGAUAUUUAUACCUAUAUA